GUGAUAUUAAUAUAAUUAGUAUAUACUCCUUCCAAGAGUAAUGUUUUAGUAAUAUCAU
This 58-nucleotide transfer RNA is filed under the name Hirudo medicinalis (medicinal leech). RNAcentral's name for it is "tRNA-Gly". The record is from RNAcentral. Lineage: Eukaryota; Metazoa; Annelida; Clitellata; Hirudinida; Hirudinidae.